RNAcentral lists this ribosomal RNA (253 nucleotides) under uncultured bacterium. RNAcentral's name for it is "partial 16S ribosomal RNA". It matches the Rfam family "Bacterial small subunit ribosomal RNA", at positions 524 to 776 of the family's 1533-position model. The record is from RNAcentral.
UACGUAGGCAGCGAGCGUUGUUCGGAGUUACUGGGCGUAAAGGGUGUGUAGGCGGUUUUCUAAGUUUGGUGUGAAAUCUCCCGGCUCAACCGGGAGGGUGCGCCGAAAACUGGGAGACUAGAGUGCGGGAUGGGAGAGUAGAAUUCCUGGUGUAGCGGUGAAAUGCGUAGAUAUCUGGAGGAACACCGGUGGCGAAGGCGGCAUCCUGGACCAACACUGACACUGAGGAGCGAAAGCCAGGGGAGCAAACGGG